RNAcentral lists this ribosomal RNA (943 nucleotides) under uncultured archaeon. RNAcentral's name for it is "bacterial SSU rRNA". It matches the Rfam family "Archaeal small subunit ribosomal RNA", at positions 1 to 923 of the family's 1478-position model. The record is from RNAcentral.
UUCCGGUUGAUCCUGCCGGACCCCACUGCUAUCGGGAUAGGACUAAGACAUGCUAGUCGUGUGCCUCAGCCAAAACGAGGCACGGCGUACAGCUCAGUAACACGUGGCUAACCUGCCCUUAGGACGAGAAUAACCCCGGGAAACUGGGGCUAAUGCUCGAUAGGUGAAGAACUCUGGAAUGAGUCUUCACUUAAAAGAGUCUGCGUUAUGCUCGUAGAUUUCGCCCAAGGAUGGGGCCGCGACCGAUCAGGUUGUUGGCGAGGUAAUGGCUCACCAAGCCUAUAACCGGUGCGGGCCGUGGGAGCGGGAGCCCGGAGAUGGGCACUGAGACAAGGGCCCAGGCCCUACGGGGCGCAGCAGUCGCGCAAACUUUGCAAUACACGAAAGUGUGACAGGGCUAUCCCGAGUGCCGUCCGCUGAGGAUGGCUUUUACCCAGUCUAGAACGCUGGGGGAAUAAGGAGAGGGCAAGUCUGGUGUCAGCCGCCGCGGUAAUACCAGCUCUCCGAGUGGUGUGGAUGUUUAUUGGGCCUAAAGCAUCCGCAGCUGGCCAAGUUAGUCCCUUGUUAAAUCCACCGAAUCGAUCGUUGGAUUGCGGGGGAUACUGCUCGGCUAGGGGACGGGAGAGGCAGACGGUAUUUCCGGGGUAAGGGUGAAAUCUUAUAAUCCCGGGAAGACCACCAGUGGCGAAGGCUGUCUGCUAGAACGCGCCCGACGGUGAGGGAUGAAAGCUGGGGUAGCGAACCGGAUUAGAUACCCGGGUAGUCCCAGCCGUAAACGAUGCAGGCUAGGUGUUUGGGCGGCCACGUGCCGCUCUAGUGCCGCAGGGAAGCUGUUAAGCCUGCCGCCUGGGGGAGUACGAUCGCAAGAUUGAAACUUAAAGGAAUUGGCGGGGGAGCACCACAAGGGGUGAAGCUUGCGGUUUAAUUGGAGUCAACGCCGGAA